AGCUGUGCGCUGCGACCAAAAGGGGGGAUUCUGACUCAGAUUUCCCCCCCCCCCCCCUAAAAUUUCAAAAUGCCCUUUCCCGGACUGUUAUCUUUAUUAUUAAACUAACGGGGGUCUCUGCUGUUGGGAGCGGAUUAAUAUUUUCACACGCUGAUUUUUGUCCUUGCCAUGCGCAUUGCGGUACAGCAUCGUCUGUAAUCGGCACCAGUUUCGCUCAUUAAAACUUAAAAUUUAGUUUAAGAGCAGUUUAGGAAAAAAUAUCACUGUGCAGAAUGAUGCGCAAAUCACGCCGCCGUUAUGCUGGAAGCCUUUUCAGAUGCGGGGAAUCUCUUGAAAUUCGGUGAGACGUUUAACAAUCGCCAACAUCUCACAGUCGCACAAACACUUCAACAGGAAUAGUUUUUUUUUUUUUUUAUGUGUUAAUAAUGACAUUAAUUCAAAAUCGAGCGAAGUUACCGGGAAUUUGCACGGAGAUUCCAGCUUUUAUGCAUCAGUGUUCCUGCAGGCUUCUCAGACUCAAAAAUGUCUGGAUCGCGCUGCCAUCUAGCGUACGUUGUGCAAUUACAUCCCCAUAACACCCCCAACGUGCAAGCCAUCAAACUUGCAUUUUUAAGCGCUUAAAUAGAUCUUAAAUAAUAAUUAAAAAGCUCGAACGUGCGUAGAAUUGUCUUGUGUACUUUUGUAGUUCGUAAAAAGUCAAUUUCGCAGGUUAAAGAUAUCGGACGACAUUAAUAAAUUAUUAAGAAAACAUAAACAUGCAUUGAUUAGAGUAUCAUGAUUCAUAAUUAAUGUUUAAACAGUGCUUCCUAAUUAAAAUUACGCUCUGUUUAUAUAAAACAAAGACAAAAAAAAUUCAAAUUUUACUCAAAAGCUUAGGAAAUAAUAAUCCAACACUCAAAGACAUAAAAGUACUUUAAUACAACAAAGCACGCAUAGGCACGUCUAGACUCAAACAGAGAUAUAAGAAGAUAUAACAUAGCGUUAAUAUGCAAGUGCCUCUGUUUGAAUGCGCAUUCAGGAGGGAUGGCUUGUUUUUUAAGUAUUCAAUAAGAGAGCUCUCUCUCCCCGUCCCUGUCUCGGACACACACCAUGGAAACUCUCCGGCCAUGUCUCCAGCACUCUGAAAAGGUGAAACCAAUAAGAUUAAAUCGGACAAUGCAUUUUUUUGCCCCCUUUCUUCCCCCUUUGGUGUAUCAUUAAGAUUUAACUCCGCACAUUUUGGUAAAAGAAUGGGGGUCCGCAUGAGGGAAGAAGAGGAGAGAGAAGAGAGAAAAAGAGUGAGAGGGGGAAGCGAAUAGGAAGCGGGGUAGAUAUAUUAGAGAGGCUCUGAUAGAAACCUGCAUGUGGAGAAAGUGGACGGGUGGGAUGUUGGAAGAAGGAGAUGAAGCACCGGUACAGGAGCGGCUGCUGUGCAGUCACAGAGAAGGCUCACAGCGCUGUAGCUGCAGGAGGCGUCCGAACAAACGCCGAAGGAGGACAGAGAUGCUGGAAUGGGGUUUUCCUUAAUGCUGUUUGAUUUUAGGAAGAGCUUGUGCCUAUUUAGCAGGAUAGGGGUUUAUGUACUGGAUAAAUUGAGGAUUAAAAUUUGAUUCAUCCUUAUUGCCCUUUGGAAAUCCCAUUCCCAAUUUUUAUAUUGGCUUCUUUGAAAAUUAAGAUGUGGAAAAGAGUGUGGUUUGAUUUUUCUGGGAAUCUAACGUCAGCAACUUUCAUAGCAGGAAAUCAAAAUGAAAUUGUUUUGAAGUGAUAGUGGUAUUCAAAUGUAAAAACCUAUCAUGGACUCUACUGGUUUAACUGUGACAAGAUUAAAAGAAUCAGUGGCUAAAUAAUAGCUUUACAAAGUUUGUUUAUGCCCUUUACUUGUAAGCACAUCAGUGACAUGAUAUGAAAACAACACAAAUUUCCUUAAUAUCUUCUAGAAAUGCACCAAUCAGAAUUUUAUGACAAUACGGAAUUUCAACUUUGGUCAUUUGUUCUGAUCUACCAAUAAAAUAUAUAUUUUUUUUGUAUUACAAUUUUUCUCUAUGACAGAUCAUAGAGGAAUAGUGUCGCUUGAUGGAGAUAGGAAUUUUGAAUUCAACAGAAAGCAAAGAAUUAAAAAAAUAAUCAAACAUUUCCCACUUUUUUUGUUUCUAUCAGACCUCAAAAAGUUCCUCUUCAUGGAGGGUUUAAGUUGACGUCUUUAUGGAGUGAAAAUGGUGUGAGUUUAUACCUGUGGUAGUUUUAAUGAGUCAGGGGGAAAAGUCAGAUUUCUUGUUAUUUGAAUACUGUUUGAUCAUCGAACGCUAAUGGUAGAAUAACUUGAUUAUACAUUGGGCAGUGGAAGAGCUAACAUCAGUCUCACUUGAUUUCAAGAUUUAACACCUUUCUUUGAGUCCGAUUCACAAUUUUGCAUUCAUUUUUUUCGUUAUGUAAAUUAUUGGACUCAUUUCACGCUUUAUGGCUGGAAAUGACUCGGGGUAUUCCACAGCACAAAGUAAGAGACUGCAGUUUGCUUUAGCCCCAUAGCAAUAGAUCAGGAAAAACAAGCAGAGAAUGGACAUUAUUGAUGAUUUGUGCAGACGGACCUCAGACGAUCUUGAAUUAUGUGUGAGAGCAAAAGAUAGACACUUACACAUUGCUGUGUUUACUUGGGUCUUGUGUAUGUGUGUAGGUGCGUGUGCGUGUGUGUGAUAGCCGAGUCAGUUUUCCCUCAGAUGUUCCUUGUGACCUUUGACCCUGGAGCCGGGGUCAAACCCUGACAAAUGAGACGGUUGAGCUCUGAGCAGAGCAGCAAACAUUCCACAACCAUCUUCUGUCCUCCUUCUCCUGCUCCUUAUAUCAUUCACCCCUCUUUCUGUCUCUCUCUCCAUCUCCUCUUUAACUGCGACGGGAGCAAAUGAAGUUUAAAACUAAUAAUGAUGAUAUUGGAUAAGUUUAACAUGUGCCUUUUUAUAUUAAACCAGAGAAAUCAUUUGAUCUGAGAGAAGUAAAUGCUGCUGAAGAGUUGAAAUUUUACAACUAUGCACUUUAACAACACACUCCCUGUUGUGUCUACGAGUGCGUGCGUGUACGUGCGCACGCACACGCGUGUGUGUGUGUGUGUGUGUGUGUGUGUGUGGAGAGACUGUCAGUGAUGUCAAGGAUGAGAAAUGUUGCUGUGAGGUUUUUUUACACACGCUGCUGGCUCCAGCAUUUCCGGCAACAUUUCUCACUCUGCCUCCCUCACACCAUCCGCUCUCCUGCAAUAUCCCCACAUUUUUCCAUCCUUUCCGUUCUCUUCCCUGCACCCUCCCCUCCUCACUUUCAGUCCCCACUUCAAACUUCCUCUCCUUGUGCCAUCCUACUCAUCCUAAUCUCAGCCCUUUUCCUUUCUCUCUCUUUUUUUCUCUCGCUCGCUCUCUCUCUCACACGCACACUCUCUCCACCCACUAUUCUCUCUGAUUUUCUUGACACAGAAUGCAACCACCUGUGUCUUUAGGAUGAAUGUGAGGAGUUAUCCACCUUACUCCAGUGAGAGCUGGUUAAGGUAAGUGGGUUGUUGUUUAUCCUACAUUUUUUUGAAUGAAAUUGCUGUAACAAGCCUAACUACCCUUUACAAAUGCUCCAGCUACAAGCCACUGCUGCGAUAACUGUGAAAGCAGUUGUCUAAUUAUGAACGUCAGCAGAGCAGCCAGUGUCGGAAAGGACAUGCAAUGCAGUAAGACGGUGUAACGCUAUUGAACUUGUACAUUGAUGUAAUGUAACAGUUACUGGAAUGCAGUUCCACACAGCACAUAAUCCUAAUAAAAAAAAUUAAAAAAAACCCAGCAAUAUAUGUACGUGUUUGUGUGUUUUUUUUCCCCCUCCCUGUUUCUACUCCCACUUGAAUUGUGAUCGCAUUUGAUGUAGGCUGCUCUGUGAUUCAUUGGAGGGUACAGCUGCUUCACAUGCCUUUUGGACUGGACAAAACUGUCUCCUCACAGGAAAGCUUGAUCACAUGUCUCAAUCACACAGCGAGAUCUGAGCUCUAAUUGGCUGCGCACUGGGGCAUCACCAUGGCGAAUCUGAGUAGCACGCAUGCAGCUUUUUGAUUCGGAUAGUAAGACGGUGGUGGCGUAUGGGGUUGUUGGGGGUCUGAUUGAGGGUGAGGGGGGUCCUUUUGAGUAGAAAGGCAGUGAGUGUCUGGCACAUCUGUGAGCAGGACCACCUGGAACCCAGUUUGCCGUUGUGAUUAACCUCAAUGCACAGUGUAAAGCAUAAACAGUGAGAAUUGUUCAUCUACACAUGCGAUAGCAAAAAAAAUACAAGAGGAAAUGGUGGAAUGUCCUAAGAGCAGCCACUUUACUGCCUGAUAUACCAGAAUGAAUAAAUUAUAAAGCUCUCACCAUCAGCAAACAACUUGCUAUGAUUAAAAUAGCCAGCAGGGGACAGAAAAUAAGUGAAGAACAUGUAGAGGCAUUUCUAUGUAAUCACAGUCUUGUCUAUGUCCGUAGUUUGGUCCAGCUGAUUGUUUUUUACACCAUCUUUUCUUCUUCCUCCUGCUCAGUAUGUACACAGGGAGCUCAAGGGUGCAAAAGAAAAGGCUCCGAAGCAUUCAAUUCGCCGCCACCACCCACUGUUGUCCUACUGUUACCGAGUCAUGGAUGUCUUCCCCUAUCCCCAAGGGAUUCUGCCCCGUUUGCUCCCCAACCCUCCCACCUCUUCCUCAGCUAGCAUGCACCCAGCUACCCAUCCGCCAAUCUCUUCUCCUCCUCCCUGCCUUUGCUCCCUUAUUCAGCGUGUAAAAGCGACCCCUGAAUGAUGGAUUACAGUGUCACUGCAGCCUGCGAAGGAUUAAUUUGUUUCAUUGAUUUCUCUUUAGGCAGAAUGCCAGCGUCUGCCGCUUCCCACCUUUUUCCCCGAGACUCGCUGCUGUAAUAGACGGUAAUGGCCUAAGACAAAUCAACCCCUUUUCUUGUAAAAAUAGCACCAAAUAACCCAACCCACCCUAACAGCUUGCACUCUACUUGGAAGCACAUCAGGUGGUGGUGGUGCAGUGGUGGUGGUGGGUACCGGGAGAGGCCGGGGUGUGUGUGUGUGUGUGUGGUGGGGGGGUCUGUUCAAUUUAUCCUCAUAUUCAGUUUCUAUCACUCUAUCUGGCUACGUUUCGGUACCACCCUCCCUCUUCAUUCAGAGCCGAGGCCAGAGGAGACCAUCCUGUCGCUUUAACAAAGCCAUAAGUCUGCCAUACUUACUGCUCCCUCUCAGGCUUCACAAUGGAUGGGUAAUGGCAGCGCUGUCUGGAGGGGGCUGCGGGAGUUGGGCCAUUCUCUCCAGUAAUGGAAGCUGUUACUGCCAUUCCUUACACACCUGCAAGAACAGCUAACUGCUAACCACUGUGAUCUAUUGCAGAGGCCUCAUUGCGCCGGGCUAAGGUUGAAGGGUUGUACUGACACCAGUGAAUUAGGGCACAUCCUUUCCCCCUCGCACCCCUGCCUUCGCUUUCCAUUUCACACCAAAACCUAUGGAGGAGCAAUGGAGAUAUUUCCAAGCAAAUCUAUAGCCUCAGAGUCCACAUUGGUGCAGCUUUCAGCCUCACAGACUGGCGAUCUAGCUUUCCUGACAUCCGCUGAUUUAACACAGACAUAAGAUGCUGUCACAUCUUUACUACUCUGUCACUGCCUUGAACGAUGGGAAAUCCAAACUGCCUGUAACAUUAAGAACACCACUACAGGCCGACUGUCCUUGAAUGCUUUCCAGUCCCGCAGAGAUUUAUGAGCUGAACCGCAUCCAUUAAUCCACUGUUGAUUUGCUGUGGCUACCCUGCGGGGUUUUUGGGGAUCAGAUAUCAUACAGUGCUGAAACUCACCCUGUCGUGCAAGACGGUGGAAAGCAGCUCUUUUACAAGAGCUGG
Molecule: long non-coding RNA, 5851 nt
Organism: Poecilia latipinna (sailfin molly)
Lineage: Eukaryota; Metazoa; Chordata; Actinopteri; Cyprinodontiformes; Poeciliidae
Exons: 2
Source: RefSeq, a predicted model, not a curated record